RNAcentral lists this long non-coding RNA (783 nucleotides) under Homo sapiens (human). RNAcentral describes it as "HSALNT0381491". The record is from RNAcentral. Lineage: Eukaryota; Metazoa; Chordata; Mammalia; Primates; Hominidae.
AAAAUGGUUAAGAUAAUGCCUGGCCUAUUGUUAGUGCUUUAUAAAUAUGAGCUCUCGUUGUCUCUCUAUUAUGACGUUUCUGAUUCUACAACUUCCAUGUUUACAAUAGAAUCCUGAGAUACUUCAGACCUUCACUUCUUUUGCUCUGCACAGUGAUCAGAAAGUGACUCAUAAUCAUCGCUAGUCUAGGUCUCAUCAGGUGACCAGGAGUCCACCAUGACCUUGUACAGCGCAAGCCCUUGAUAAAUGAUUCAAUUAAAUUCAAAAGGGCUUGGGCAGCAAAAAGUGUCCUCUUGCUCCAUGCCCAGCAGAGGGAGCAGAAGAAAAGGAACAAAUCCUUUCUCAGCUAUGUACUAAACACAAAGGAAGACAGAAGGCUGAGGGCUUCUAGAGGUCUCCUUAUCCACCCACCCCUCUCCCCUCAUUUUGUACAUUGUGAAACUGAGACCAAGAGAGGAAAGGGGAUUUCUCAACGUUACCAACCAAUAAGCGAAAUUCAGAAGCUGCUCAAACUCCAGUGCAGUCAUGGAGCCUCCAUUACCUGGGAGGCAGCCUCCAAGCAGCAUGCAGCCUUGUCAGAAACUGCACCGCCAAGGGUGAGAAUGGCAUUAGAAGCAAAGAGUGCACUUGAACUGAGUACUUUCCACAUAACCGACGCUAGGGACACCGCAGGACAUAGUUGCUGCCUCUGAGGAGCUCCCAAAUUUGCUCUCCAGAGAGGCCUCUCACCCCACCUUCCAUAGCUUUGUCUCCACUGAGUCAAAAGCUGUUAGAUCAUCUGUU